GAUGAACGCUGGCGGCGUGCCUAAUACAUGCAAGUCGAGCGAACGGACGAGAAGCUUGCUUCUCUGAUGUUAGCGGCGAACGGGUGAGUAACACGUGGAUAACCUACCUAUAAGACUGGGAUAACUUCGGGAAACCGGAGCUAAUACCGGAUAAUAUUUUGAACCGCAUGGUUCAAAAGUGAAAGACGGUCUUGCUGUCACUUAUAGAUGGAUCCGCGCUGCAUUAGCUAGUUGGUAAGGUAACGGCUUACCAAGGCAACGAUGCAUAGCCGACCUGAGAGGGUGACCGGCCACACUGGAACUGAGACACGGUCCAGACUCCUACGGGAGGCAGCAGUAGGGAAUCUUCCGCAAUGGGCGAAAGCCUGACGGAGCAACGCCGCGUGAGUGAUGAAGGUCUUCGGAUCGUAAAACUCUGUUAUUAGGGAAGAACAUAUGUGUAAGUAACUGUGCACAUCUUGACGGUACCUAAUCAGAAAGCCACGGCUAACUACGUG
Molecule: ribosomal RNA, 497 nt
Filed under: uncultured bacterium
Lineage: Bacteria
Description: partial 16S ribosomal RNA
Rfam family: Bacterial small subunit ribosomal RNA
Source: RNAcentral